Molecule: ribosomal RNA, 375 nt
Filed under: uncultured organism
Description: partial 16S ribosomal RNA
Rfam family: Bacterial small subunit ribosomal RNA
Source: RNAcentral
GUAGGUGGCAAGCGUUGUCCGGAAUUAUUGGGCGUAAAGCGCGCGCAGGCGGUCCUUUAAGUCUGAUGUGAAAGCCCACGGCUCAACCGUGGAGGGUCAUUGGAAACUGGGGGACUUGAGUACCGAAGAGGAAAGCGGAAUUCCAAGUGUAGCGGUGAAAUGCGUAGAGAUUUGGAGGAACACCAGUGGCGAAGGCGGCUUUCUGGUCUGUAACUGACGCUGAGGCGCGAAAGCGUGGGGAGCAAACAGGAUUAGAUACCCUGGUAGUCCACGCCGUAAACGAUGAGUGCUAAGUGUUAGGGGGUUUCCCGCCCCCCUUAGUGCUGCAGCUAACGCAUUAAGCACUCCGCCUGGGGGAGUACGGCCGCAAGGCUG